GGCUUCUUAGUUUAAUGGAUAGAAUUUCAGAUUCCGAUUCUGAAGGUACAGGUUCGAUUCCUGUAGAGGCUA
This 72-nucleotide transfer RNA is filed under the name Chitinophagaceae bacterium. RNAcentral's name for it is "tRNA-Arg". It matches the Rfam family "tRNA". Rfam says of the family: Transfer RNA (tRNA) molecules are approximately 80 nucleotides in length. Their secondary structure includes four short double-helical elements and three loops (D, anti-codon, and T loops). Further hydrogen bonds mediate the characteristic L-shaped molecular structure. tRNAs have two regions of fundamental functional importance: the anti-codon, which is responsible for specific mRNA codon recognition, and the 3' end, to which the tRNAs corresponding amino acid is attached (by aminoacyl-tRNA synthetases). tRNAs cope with the degeneracy of the genetic code in two manners: having more than one tRNA (with a specific anti-codon) for a particular amino acid; and 'wobble' base-pairing, i.e. permitting non-standard base-pairing at the 3rd anti-codon position. Lineage: Bacteria; Pseudomonadati; Bacteroidota; Chitinophagia; Chitinophagales; Chitinophagaceae. The record is from RNAcentral.